RNAcentral lists this transfer RNA (72 nucleotides) under Cavia porcellus (domestic guinea pig). It matches the Rfam family "tRNA". Rfam says of the family: Transfer RNA (tRNA) molecules are approximately 80 nucleotides in length. Their secondary structure includes four short double-helical elements and three loops (D, anti-codon, and T loops). Lineage: Eukaryota; Metazoa; Chordata; Mammalia; Rodentia; Caviidae. The record is from Rfam by way of RNAcentral.
AUGGAUUUAGCUCAAUGGUAGAAGCACCUGCCUGGCAAGCGGGAGGUUGUGAGUUUGAUCCCCAGUUCCAUA